This 254-nucleotide ribosomal RNA is filed under the name uncultured bacterium. RNAcentral describes it as "partial 16S ribosomal RNA". It matches the Rfam family "Bacterial small subunit ribosomal RNA", at positions 524 to 776 of the family's 1533-position model. The record is from RNAcentral.
CACGUAGGGGGCAAGCGUUGUCCGGAUUUAUUGGGCGUAAAGAGCUCGUAGGCUGUUCGAUAAGUCGGGUGUGAAACCUCCAGGCUCAACCUGGAGACGCCACCCGAUACUGUCAUGACUAGAGUCCGGUAGGGGAGCGUGGAAUUCCUGGUGUAGCGGUGAAAUGCGCAGAGAUCGGGAGGAACACCCGUAGCGAAGGCGGCACUCUGGGCCGGUACUGACGCUGAGGAGCGAAAGCGUGGGGAGCAAACAGG